GAACGGGUGAGUAAUACUUGGGAAUCUGCCUUGUAGCGGGGGAUAACGUUUCGAAAGGAACGCUAAUACCGCAUACGUCCUACGGGAGAAAGGAGGGGAUCUUCGGACCUUCCACUAUAAGAUGAGCCCAAGCGAGAUUAGCUAGUUGGUAAGGUAAAGGCUUACCAAGGCGACGAUCUCUAGCUGGUCUGAGAGGAUGAUCAGCCACACUGGGACUGAGACACGGCCCAGACUCC
This 236-nucleotide ribosomal RNA is filed under the name uncultured bacterium. RNAcentral's name for it is "partial 16S ribosomal RNA". It matches the Rfam family "Bacterial small subunit ribosomal RNA", at positions 100 to 339 of the family's 1533-position model. The record is from RNAcentral.